Girardinichthys multiradiatus is the source of this 343-nucleotide long non-coding RNA. RefSeq lists it as uncharacterized. The transcript is spliced from 3 exons. The record is from RefSeq and is a predicted model, not a curated record. Lineage: Eukaryota; Metazoa; Chordata; Actinopteri; Cyprinodontiformes; Goodeidae.
GGGACACGAGAGAAGCUAAACUAUAAGUAAACCAAAGGAAAACUAGAUCUAAGGAUAAACAAACACUAACUCACAAGGACGAGCAGGGAAGCGAAAACCAAAUACAACUAAUAAUCUUAACAACAAGAACGUAAAGUUCUUCACCAGCAUGUUUUUCGUCGUCGUCCAAGUCAAAAGUGUGCGUUUCUUUCUCUUUACUAGAAGCAAAGAUUCAAGGUGCUGGUAUGUACUUGAACAAAAUACUCAGGAAACAACUCUGAGCACAAAGGACAGGCCACAGAACAGAAAGUGAAACUGUACCUUUACCUUAACAUCUAUCUUCUGAGAGACAGGUGUACAUGGG